UAUAAACAUUUAGUAAUAUGCAAAUAACAAACGGCGCCAUCUUUCACAAACAACUAACUAAUUUUGACAGCAAGAGACAUUAUGUGUGAACACCACCCAACCUGUAGCGGAAUUUAAACGGUCAGUGUAAACGCAGUAAAAAUAUGCCGUCACUUUUCGCUCCGGUGUAAUGUAAACGUAGUUUUAAAUAUGCCGCAGAAGGGCGUAAAGUUUUCAGUUGAAAAAGGCAUUUUUAAAAGUUCAACACUUAUUUAUAUAAAAGUUCAACACUUAUUUAUGUAAAAGUUCAACACUUAUUUAU
Long non-coding RNA from Xenia sp. Carnegie-2017, 301 nucleotides. RefSeq lists it as uncharacterized. The transcript has 2 exons. NCBI's taxonomy places the organism in Eukaryota, Metazoa, Cnidaria, Anthozoa, Malacalcyonacea, Xeniidae. The record is from RefSeq and is a predicted model, not a curated record.